Molecule: non-coding RNA, 100 nt
Organism: Caenorhabditis elegans
Lineage: Eukaryota; Metazoa; Nematoda; Chromadorea; Rhabditida; Rhabditidae
Source: Ensembl
AAAAAAAUUUAACGCAGUCAGCAGGAUUCGAACCUACGCGGGCAGAGCCCAAUUGAUUUCUAGUCAAUCUCCUUAACCACUCGGACAUGACUGCACGACG